RNAcentral lists this transfer RNA (75 nucleotides) under Rhodocyclaceae bacterium. RNAcentral describes it as "tRNA-Arg". It matches the Rfam family "tRNA". From Rfam's summary of the family: Transfer RNA (tRNA) molecules are approximately 80 nucleotides in length. Their secondary structure includes four short double-helical elements and three loops (D, anti-codon, and T loops). Further hydrogen bonds mediate the characteristic L-shaped molecular structure. tRNAs have two regions of fundamental functional importance: the anti-codon, which is responsible for specific mRNA codon recognition, and the 3' end, to which the tRNAs corresponding amino acid is attached (by aminoacyl-tRNA synthetases). tRNAs cope with the degeneracy of the genetic code in two manners: having more than one tRNA (with a specific anti-codon) for a particular amino acid; and 'wobble' base-pairing, i.e. permitting non-standard base-pairing at the 3rd anti-codon position. Lineage: Bacteria; Pseudomonadati; Pseudomonadota; Betaproteobacteria; Rhodocyclales; Rhodocyclaceae. The record is from RNAcentral.
GCCUCGUUAGUUAAAUGGAUAUAACCGGCCCCUCCUAAGGGUCAAUUGGUGGUUCGAUUCCACCACGGGGCGCCA